RNAcentral lists this unclassified non-coding RNA (571 nucleotides) under Solms-laubachia tianbaoshanensis. RNAcentral's name for it is "partial petN-psbM intergenic spacer". The record is from RNAcentral. Lineage: Eukaryota; Viridiplantae; Streptophyta; Magnoliopsida; Brassicales; Brassicaceae.
CCUAAUUGCGGUAAUAAUCAAACUCUAUCAACCUGUAUCAAUUGUUUUAGUUUUAUAGACCGUUCGGCAAUUUUUUUUAAGAUUUUUUUUUAGAAAUUGGAUUUCUGUUUUGUUUUAUUGACUCAUUUUCUAUUUUUAUAUCAGGGUUUACACGGUUAACCAUUCAUGGGGUAACCCCUUUUCGAAAUCUAAAGAAGUUUCCAUCGAAUUAGGAUUAUCUGUAUUAAACGGAUCAAACAAACAAAUGAAAUUGAGAAAGUAUGUACAUACAUUUUAUAUUCUAUUUAUAUUAAUAAUUUAUAUUCUAUUUAUAUUAAUAAAAAAAAAAGAGAUAUAGGUGGAUUCCUUUAUAUUAAGAUAUUUCACUUGUACUUUAUACAUUACAAUAACCAUAAUGGCUAGUAUGGUAGAAAGAGAUCUCUUUCUACCAUACUAUCGGGCCCCUUAGGAUACUACUACUGAGUCUAAGGGAUUCCUUUCAUUUAAGACGAUAAAUUUAAAUCCUUUUUUUUCUUUGUUUUUUUUCAUUGUUUUUUGUUUUUUUUCAUUGUUUAUAGUAAAAUUGUAUUCA